AUGUCCCAUCCAAUCCCUCUGCCGCCGCCUCUCCACCAAAUCCCCUGCAGGAUCCUCUUCGCACCAACUAGCAACCACCGAAACUUCCAAAUCCAUCAAUCCCCGCCUCUCCUCGAAUUCCAGCCACAUCCCCGCUCGAUCUCGUCGGGAUCGAAGCCACCAGCACACUCGCCGACCACCGCGGCGACUAGGCCAAUUCUGUUACUUCGUUCCUUCCUUUUUCUCCCGUGCUUCUCCCUCGUCUCACUUCUCUGUCUCUCUCACCCCGUUCAAGCAGGAAGCAGCCAACGCCAUGGACGUCGUGCCCUCGAGCAGCAGCAGUCUCGAGCAUCGCCCGACCCUGCCUCCACCUUGUUCUCGCCGGAGCAAGCCCCACCGCGCCGCCCUCCGUCAGCCGCCGGAGCCUCGUCCGCCCCCGGCGAACCUCGACCUCCUUCGGAGCCACGACGCCUCCCUACCGUUCCUGACCUCGACUCCCUCUCGUCUCUCUCUCUACAGGGACCCGCCAUGGCCAACCUCUCCUUUAAGUGUCCCGCGCCCGGAUCCAGUGCCCUCGGCUUCCCCAAGCAUGGAUCCCCAUCCCCGACCUCUUCUGCUGCAUCUGGCGUCCCACCGCCGUCUUCCUCCCGUGCCUCACGCCGGAGCCUACUUCCGCUGUGGCAUCCUCUGCCUCGACCCCGCCUGGACUCCCCUCCGCCGGCCUUCAAUGCUGUCCAGGACCCAGAUCCUCCCCUUCGCCCCCCUCGACGGAGCUCUGCUCCCAGCCACCGCUGCCCUGCUCGCCUCCUCUGCUUCGCCCUUGCGCGAGGAGGACGACCCAGCGUGAAGUCCCGCUCACCGUGCCUGUUGACUUCGUCGCCCCAUGCGUGGGCCACGAGGGUGCCAAGGCCCAGCUCCGCGCGCGCCUUGCCAGCCCAUCUCCACCGAGGCCGCGCCUGGCCCAGCUCCAGGUUCCAGCGCCCGCGUGGGCCACAGGCAGGCCGGCCCAGCGCGCCCUCCUGCUAUACCUCUCCACAAUUCUGGGCAAGGCCCAUGGUGAGAACAGAUCUGGCCCGACACGUUUUUUCCCAGUUCUGGACGAAUUUCGUAAUUAUUUAG
This 1098-nucleotide ribosomal RNA is filed under the name Triticum aestivum (bread wheat). RNAcentral describes it as "partial small subunit ribosomal RNA". The record is from RNAcentral. Lineage: Eukaryota; Viridiplantae; Streptophyta; Magnoliopsida; Poales; Poaceae.